This 683-nucleotide ribosomal RNA is filed under the name Rhizoctonia solani. Its description in RNAcentral is "eukaryotic LSU rRNA". The stretch from base 227 to 383 matches the Rfam family "5.8S ribosomal RNA". Lineage: Eukaryota; Fungi; Basidiomycota; Agaricomycetes; Cantharellales; Ceratobasidiaceae. The record is from RNAcentral.
GUAAUCGACGGUUUGAGCUGAGCUCUUUCGGGAGUAUUUUGUGCUCGCCUUGAUUCCAAUCCAUCCUUCACACCUGUGCACAUAUUGUAGUUUUGGGUUUUGUGUUGUAAUGGGGGCCAAACCCCCCACUUCAAAUCCCUGACUCUCCUUAUUUUUCCUUAUCCCCUAUUAUAUGUUUAGAAUGUUAUUAUUUGCAAAAUAAAUAAAAAAACUCAAUUAUUAACAAAACUUUCGAGUCAACGGAUCUCUUGGCUCUCUCAUCAAUGAAGAACGCAGCGAAAUGCAAUGAGUAAUGUGAAUUGCAGAAUUCCAUGAAUCCUCUAAACUCUGCAACGCAUCUCGCGCUCCUCGGAAUUCCAAGGAGCAUGCCUGUUUGAGUGUCAUGAAUCUUUCAAACUCUUAAUUUUUGUUACCAACUACACUUUUUGAACUUGGAACUUGUAUGCUUUUUGCUGGCAAAUCUCCUCUCCACUAAAAACUAGUAUGCUUGGGUCUUUGGAUGUCUGGAUCCGUGGAGUGAUAAUUAUCUCACACUCCACGAUGUCCCUCCGCACCCUGCUUCUAUUCGUCCUUGAUGAUCUGAAAUGACAACAAAUACUCUUUAUUCAUUUGACAUCUGACCUCGUAUCACGACUACGACUACCCUCUAACCUAUAACACCAUUCCGAAAAAGGAGGAAAAGG